GAGUGAACGCUGGCGGUGCGCCUAAAACAUGCAAGUCGAGUGGGUUUAGACCCACGGCGAACGGCUGCGUAACACAUGGGUACCUGCCCCGAACUCAGGGAUAUCCCGCCGAAAGGCGGAGUAAUACCGGAUGCCCUCGGCUUCUUCUUGGACUGAUACUGUUGGAAGUACUUCUUCCUUUGAGAAAUUGUUAAACUGUUAAACUGUUAAAUUUGUUCGCAAGCGAUAACGAUCGUUUUGCUCUCCAGCAAUUUAACAAUAUAACAAUUUAACAAUUCACCUCGUCGGUUGAGUAGUUUCUACCAUCUCAGUACAAAAAGAAGUCGAGGAAAGAUUUUUCGGUUCGGGAGGGGCCUGUGCCCUAUCAGCUAGUUGGUAAGGUAAUGGCUUACCAAGGCUAUGACGGGUAGCUGGUCUGAGAGGACGGCCAGCCAGAAUGGGACUGAGACACGGCCCAUACUCCUACGGGAGGCAGCAGUUAGGAAUCUUCCGCAAUGGGCGAAAGCCUGACGGAGCGACACCGCGUGAAGGAUGAAGCCCUUUCUGGGUGUAAACUUCUGUUCUGAGGGAAGAAAUUUUUGACGGUACCUCAGGAGAAAGCACCGGCUAAUUCUGUGCCAGCAGCCGCGGUAAGACAGAAGGUGCAAGCGUUACUCGGAAUUACUGGGCGUAAAGCGUCUGUAGGUUUUCAACCACGUCUGACGUGAAAUCGCGGGGCUCAACCCCGCGCCCACGUUGGAAACGAGUUGGAUAGAGUCAUUCAGAGGCAUCUGGAAUGUCGUGUGUAGGGGUAAAAUCCGUAGAUACACGAUGGAACGCCAAAAGUGAAGACAGGAUGCUAGGAAUGCACUGACACUCAGAGACGAAAGCGUGGGGAGCAAAGGGGAUUAGAUACCCCCGUAGUCCACGCCCUAAACUAUGCGAGCUCGGUGUGGGACUUUCAAUCAAGUCCCGUGCCUUAAGCUUACGCGGUAAGCUCGCCGCCUGGGAAGUACGGCCGCAAGGCUAAAACUCAAAGGAAUAGACGGGGACCCACACAAGCGGUGGAGCAUGGGGUUUAAUUCGAUGACAAGCGAAGCACCUCACCCAGACUUGACAUGUAGGGAAUCCUGAAGAAAUUCGGGAGUGCCGCAAGGAACCCUAACACAGGCGCUGCACGGUCGUCGUCAGCUCGUGCCUUGAGGUGUACUGUUCAGUCAGCCAACGAGCGCAACCCUGAUUCUAUGUUGUUUUUUCAUAGAAGACUGCCGCCUCCAAGGCGGAGGAAGGUCAGGAUGACGUCAGAUCAGCGUGGCCCUUAUGUCUGGGGCAACACCCGUGCUACAAUGGCCGGUACAAACGGCAGCAAACCCGCGAGGGGGAGCAAAUCCGAUAAAACCGGUCUCAGUUCAGAUUGAAGUCUGCAACUCGACUUCAUGAAGUUGGAUCGCUAGAACCGUGAAUCAGUACGUCACGGUACAAGUUCCUGGUCUUACCA
Molecule: ribosomal RNA, 1477 nt
Filed under: uncultured bacterium
Lineage: Bacteria
Description: partial 16S ribosomal RNA
Rfam family: Bacterial small subunit ribosomal RNA
Source: RNAcentral